AGCCCUCUGCAUCCGCGCUGAGAUUUCGCCAAAUACCAGACCACAAGGGCUGAUGAGACUUCCAAGAUAAGUGAAGUG
Molecule: non-coding RNA, 78 nt
Organism: Schistosoma mattheei
Lineage: Eukaryota; Metazoa; Platyhelminthes; Trematoda; Strigeidida; Schistosomatidae
Source: Rfam